UACCAUUUGAGACCGCAGUAAGAGACUCUGGAGCCCAUCACCCCAGCAGUAACUCCUGGAAGUAUUAUGUAAGCACUCUGUGAACUGUCCUGCCUUCUUCUGUCUUCUGUUCUCUUUUCCAUCCUAGGUGUUUUUCUUCUACAGAGACAGCAUGUUUUAAUGGACUGAGCACAGAGCUGAGACUGGAGUCAAGAGUUCCUGAAAAUGAAUUCUAGCUCUGUCAUGACUUAUCACGUGGAUAUGAUUUCCAGGACAUAAUUUAUGCUAAAUACCUAUGUUUAAAGGAUGCUUUGUAGAAAACUGUAAUUUUUUAAAAAUUAAUUACAAAAUAAAAUUUAAACUCUA
Chelonoidis abingdonii (Abingdon island giant tortoise) is the source of this 345-nucleotide non-coding RNA. NCBI's taxonomy places the organism in Eukaryota, Metazoa, Chordata, Testudines, Testudinidae. The record is from RefSeq and is a predicted model, not a curated record.